RNAcentral lists this ribosomal RNA (501 nucleotides) under uncultured bacterium. RNAcentral describes it as "partial 16S ribosomal RNA". It matches the Rfam family "Bacterial small subunit ribosomal RNA", at positions 30 to 523 of the family's 1533-position model. The record is from RNAcentral.
AUUGAACGCUGGCGGCAGGCUUAACACAUGCAAGUCGAGCGGGGGAAGGUAGCUUGCUACCGGACCUAGCGGCGGACGGGUGAGUAAUGCUUAGGAAUCUGCCUAUUAGUGGGGGACAACAUCUCGAAAGGGAUGCUAAUACCGCAUACGUCCUACGGGAGAAAGCAGGGGAUCUUCGGACCUUGCGCUAAUAGAUGAGCCUAAGUCGGAUUAGCUAGUUGGUGGGGUAAAGGCCUACCAAGGCGACGAUCUGUAGCGGGUCUGAGAGGAUGGUCCGACACACUGGGACUGAGGCACGGCCCAGACUCCUACGGGAGGCAGAAGUGGGGAAUAUUGGACAAUGGGGGGAACCCUGAUCCAGCCAUGCCGCGUGUGUGAAGAAGGCCUUAUGGUUGUAAAGCACUUUAAGCGAGGAGGAGGCUACUCUAGUUAAUACCUAGGGAUAGUGGACGUUACUCGCAGAAUAAGCACCGGCUAACUCUGUGCCAGCCGCCGCCGUAA